CUACGGGAGGCUCCAGUGAGGAAUUUUGCGCAAUGGGGGAAACCCUGACGCAGCAACGCCGCGUGAGUGAUGAAGGCUUUCGGGUCGUAAAGCUCUGUCAAGUGGGAAGAAUCUGUUCGGCGCGAACACCGCCGGGCAAUGACGGUACCACUGAAGGAAGCACCGGCUAACUCCGUGCCAGCAGCCGCGGUAAUACGGGGGGUGCGAGCGUUAUUCGGAUUCAUUGGGCGUAAAGGGCGCGUAGGCGGCCUGCUAAGUCAGAUGUGAAAGCCCGGGGCUCAACCUCGGAAGUGCAUUUGAUACUAUCAGGCUUGAGUAUGGGAGAGGGAAGUGGAAUUCCUGGUGUAGAGGUGAAAUUCGUAGAUAUCAGGAGGAACACCGGUGGCGAAGGCGACUUCCUGGACCAAUACUGACGCUGAGGCGCGAAGGCGUGGGGAGCAAACAGGAUUAGAUACCCGCGUAGUC
RNAcentral lists this ribosomal RNA (465 nucleotides) under uncultured bacterium. RNAcentral describes it as "partial 16S ribosomal RNA". It matches the Rfam family "Bacterial small subunit ribosomal RNA", at positions 339 to 795 of the family's 1533-position model. The record is from RNAcentral.